This 245-nucleotide ribosomal RNA is filed under the name uncultured bacterium. Its description in RNAcentral is "partial 16S ribosomal RNA". It matches the Rfam family "Bacterial small subunit ribosomal RNA", at positions 118 to 347 of the family's 1533-position model. The record is from RNAcentral.
UGGGUAACCUGCCUCAAAGAGGGGAAUAGCCUCCCGAAAGGGAGAUUAAUACCGCAUAAUAUGUUUAAGUCGCAUGACUUUAACAUCAAAGGAUUUUCUUUAGAACUUCCACUUUGAGAUGGACCCGCGGCGCAUUAGCUAGUUGGUGAGGUAACGGCUCACCAAGGCAACGAUGCGUAGCCGACCUGAGAGGGUGAUCCGGCCACAUUGGAACUGAGACACGGUCCAGACUCCCGUAGGGACGG